UACAGAGGGGGCAAGCGUUGUUCGGAAUUACUGGGCGUAAAGGGCGCGUAGGCGGCCUGCUAAGUCGGACGUGAAAUCCCCCGGCUCAACCGGGGAACUGCGUCCGAUACUGGUGGGCUCGAAUCCGGGAGAGGGAUGUGGAAUUCCAGGUGUAGCGGUGAAAUGCGUAGAUAUCUGGAGGAACACCGGUGGCGAAGGCGGCAUCCUGGACCGGCAUUGACGCUGAGGCGCGAAAGCCAGGGGAGCAAACGGG
RNAcentral lists this ribosomal RNA (253 nucleotides) under uncultured bacterium. RNAcentral's name for it is "partial 16S ribosomal RNA". It matches the Rfam family "Bacterial small subunit ribosomal RNA", at positions 524 to 776 of the family's 1533-position model. The record is from RNAcentral.